AGUGAAGGCCUAGACUUUCUCAGACAGAUUUCUUUUAACUCUUCUGCCCUGACUCCAGUCUUCACUGGGAUGCUGCCUUGCACUUAGGGAAGGUUCACAUGCCUCAAGGAUCUCUCUCUCUCAGAUUUCUUGACUUUCCCUCAGUCUUCAGUAUAGUCCUCCUCUGUGCCUGGUGAAGACCUGUGGUAAAGUGCUGGCAGAGCUGCCGGCUUCCCCUUGAAGGAAUAGGAGUAGACCUGCUGAACUAUCACAUGAGAGAAGAGGCCCAAAAGCUUGCACACUACAGUCAAGCUGGCCCUUAAAGAGAUGGACCUAGAAGAUGCUGAGCCAGAUGUACUCAAUUACUUCUCCAAAAUUCAUCAAUUAGGUAAGACACUCUUCCCAUGAAAGGAGGUAGCUGGGGGAGAGGCUGAAGUAAUCCUUCCAUGCUUUGUUUCCUAGGGAAUAGAGUGGACAUUUCCUGCUCAAGGUGGAAAAUUGUGUAGUAAUAAAUGUCCUCAAUACAUAAUUAUCAUCUAUUACCCAGUGGGCAAAUUCCACCACUGCAGAGAUCCAGACUGCAAUACUAGAGGUAGCCAAUAUCUACACAACUCUCUGAGGAAGAGAAAAGGGCCUUUUUCUUCUAUGUUUCUCCUGUAACCCCUAUGGUACUCAUAUAGCAGACCCGAAAGAGUGCCAAUAUAAGAAAAUCAUGAAGUUACUCAAAAAUCAGUCUUACUCUUUUGGUCAGGCUUUUUUCUUCUUUCUUCUUACAUUCUGAAAAACCAAGAUUAUUGAUUUCAAAUGGCAGAUGAUCAGGUACUUUCAAUGUGUUAACAGAUGUCAGUAGUAAAUUGUUCAAUCACUGUUGAAAUGGAUGAAGAAUAACAACAUUUUUUAGUACAUGAUAUUUUGUAAAUGUCAUCAUUUUGGCCUUGUGUUACUUUUCUAGGUAACACUUGGGUAGAAAAAACAGCUAAUUGAAUUUUAUAAAUCUGGUUGAACAUCUAUUGUGUUCAAGCCAUUAUGCCAAGUGCUGUGAAAAAUGCAAAAAGACUAAGACAUACAUAGUUCCUACGUAUAUAUAUGAACAAUUUCAUCCAUAGGCAUUUAUAUUCUGGUAGAAAUAUACUGAAGAAAAUUCCAAUACGGGGAAAGCAAAGAUAGAAUACAAAGUCCAAAGUAAAACAGAACAAACCCUGAACUGCCUAGAUUAAAAAUAAUGGAAAGGAGAUGGAAAAAAAAAAAAA
Molecule: long non-coding RNA, 1229 nt
Organism: Homo sapiens (human)
Lineage: Eukaryota; Metazoa; Chordata; Mammalia; Primates; Hominidae
Product: long intergenic non-protein coding RNA 1088
Source: Ensembl